ACACCGUUGGUGAAACGGUAUCAUGCAUCCUUGCCAUUAAACAGGUUUAUUGGAUGCGGCAAGGGUUCGACUCCCUUACGGUGUA
Molecule: transfer RNA, 85 nt
Filed under: Dioszegia hungarica
Lineage: Eukaryota; Fungi; Basidiomycota; Tremellomycetes; Tremellales; Bulleribasidiaceae
Description: tRNA-Gly
Rfam family: tRNA
About the family: Transfer RNA (tRNA) molecules are approximately 80 nucleotides in length.
Source: RNAcentral